UCCGGUUUGUUUCCGGCAGUCUCUUUAGAUAGUCAACUAAAGACAAGGGUUGCGCUCGUUGCGGGACUUAACCCAACAUCUCACGACACGAGCUGACGACAGCCAUGCAACAUCUGUGCACCCGUCCCGAAGGAGGCCCGGGUUUCCCCGACUUGCGAGUACAUGUCAAGCCCUGGUAAGGUUCUUCGCGUUGCAUCGAAUUAAACCACACGCUCCGCUGCUUGUGCGGGUCCCCGUCAAUUCCUUUGAGUUUUAGUCUUGCGACCGUGCUCCCCAGGCGGGCCACUUAAUGCGUUAGCUUCGGCACGGAAGGGGUCAACACCCCCCACACCUAGUGGCCAUCGUUUGCUGCUAGGACUAC
RNAcentral lists this unclassified non-coding RNA (361 nucleotides) under uncultured Ktedonobacteria bacterium. RNAcentral describes it as "contains 16S-23S intergenic spacer region". The record is from RNAcentral. Lineage: Bacteria; Bacillati; Chloroflexota; Ktedonobacteria.